This is a long non-coding RNA of Portunus trituberculatus (swimming crab), 166 nucleotides long. RefSeq lists it as uncharacterized. The transcript has 2 exons. The record is from RefSeq and is a predicted model, not a curated record. NCBI's taxonomy places the organism in Eukaryota, Metazoa, Arthropoda, Malacostraca, Decapoda, Portunidae.
GCCACAGCCAGCCAGAGCCACACAGAGCCAGCCCGCCAGUUGUCCCGCAGAAGGCGCCGAAGGAAGGUCACGCAUACUCGCUCAGGGAGGACCAGGGUUACACCGCCACGAUGCUGCUGCUGCCGCUACUGUUGCUCGACCUGCUGAUGGCGCUGGUGCUGGCUGG